AGUGGCCGGAAGUUCUUUACUCACAUGAAGGAGCUGUGGGAUUAUUGUUGACAUUCUGAUUUGCUGACUGCCUAGCUAACGGAAUGAAAGCAUAUCUGACGAAUUGUUUGGAUUGUGUACACUGCAAGUGAAUGUAAUGACUGUAACAGUGCUUUACUUUGUAACCAAGAUAUCACCACUAUCUAAUGUAAAGGUGUAGCUGUGAGCGGGAAAUGAAAGAUGCUGCUGUCCUUGGGGAUGCUGAUGCUGUCCGCCACCCAGAUCUACACCAUCUUCACAGUUCAGCUCUUCGCCUUCCUCAACCUGCUCCCAGUGGAGGCAGACAUCUCAGCGUACUCUUUCGACAACAAGACAGAGAACUACGAUGACCUCCCUGCGCGCUUCGGCUACCGACUGCCCAGUGAAGGACUGAAGGUUAGGAAGGAGUUAUGAGAGCGGCGCCUAAUUGCCCUCUUGUUUAGGAGGGCACUUUACACGACGCAUACUUUUUAGGCCACGUGGUAUGAUCACUACAAAAAAAUUACAAGUUUGGCACCCUAAAUUCCAACACUCCACCCAUCUAAAAGGCGUACACUGAUGAACGUAAGACCACACACUCUCACCACCAGCACCACCACUCACUCAGUGUGAUGCCAUGCCACACCGCACUGCAUCCCCUCACCCCAUGGCACACAAGGCGAGCAGGCGCCUCAAACAGGCUUUCAGGAAACACAAGGAACUGAAUCACAAAACUAGGGAUGCACGAUACCACUUUUUUACAAACCGAUACGAGU
This is a long non-coding RNA of Clupea harengus (Atlantic herring), 773 nucleotides long. RefSeq lists it as uncharacterized. The transcript is spliced from 3 exons. The record is from RefSeq and is a predicted model, not a curated record. NCBI's taxonomy places the organism in Eukaryota, Metazoa, Chordata, Actinopteri, Clupeiformes, Clupeidae.